GACGAACGCUGGCGGCGUGCUUAACACAUGCAAGUCGAACGGAAAGGCCCUGCUUUUGUGGGGUGCUCGAGUGGCGAACGGGUGAGUAACACGUGAGUAACCUGCCCUUGACUUUGGGAUAACUUCAGGAAACUGGGGCUAAUACCGGAUAGGAGCUCCUGCUGCAUGGUGGGGGUUGGAAAGUUUCGGCGGUUGGGGAUGGACUCGCGGCCUAUCAGCUUGUUGGUGGGGUAGUGGCUUACCAAGGCUUUGACGGGUAGCCGGCCUGAGAGGGUGACCGGCCACAUUGGGACUGAGAUACGGCCCAGACUCCUACGGGAGGCAGCAGUGGGGAAUAUUGCACAAUGGGCGGAAGCCUGAUCCAGCAACGCCGCGUGCGGGAUGACGGCCUUCGGGUUGUAAACCGCUUUCGCCUGUGACGAAGCGUGAGUGACGGUAAUGGGUAAAGAAGCACCGGCUAACUACGUG
Molecule: ribosomal RNA, 468 nt
Filed under: uncultured bacterium
Lineage: Bacteria
Description: partial 16S ribosomal RNA
Rfam family: Bacterial small subunit ribosomal RNA
Source: RNAcentral